Molecule: long non-coding RNA, 547 nt
Organism: Corvus hawaiiensis (hawaiian crow)
Lineage: Eukaryota; Metazoa; Chordata; Aves; Passeriformes; Corvidae
Exons: 2
Source: RefSeq, a predicted model, not a curated record
CCUCACACCUGCACCUCCCCCCUGUCCGUCCCCCCGGUGGCCCGGGGCCGGCGCUCGGGACCCUCGCUCGGCGCUGUGCGAGCCCGGCCCGGGGGCUGCUCCCGGCAGGGACCGCGCCGAGCCCGGGGCGCUGCGGCGGGGCCGCGACUGGGGCCGGGGGUGCGGGGCCGGGCGCUGCCGGGCCGGGCGCUGCCGGGGUCCGUUCGCGGAGCGGUGCUGCCUCUCCCCCGGUGCGGGUCCCGGGGGUGGCGGACCGAGGCGGCAUUGGGGAGGACGCAGAGGAACCCGGCGGCUCCCGCGGCUGGCUCAGAGCUCCCACAUGCCAGGGCUGGGAGAUGUUUUCCCCACGCUGCCCAGCCCCCGGAGGCGGAGCAGCGCAGAGCUGGAGCAGCACCGGGAGAGGGCAGCGGUGCCAUGCGGUGAAGCCGCUGAGAGAGGAGCAGCGGGACAUGACAGCUGCCCCUCCUCACCAGACUAUAAAAAUACCCGCAGAGCUUUUUUGGUUUGGGUUAUCUUUAUUUUACAGUUUAUAAAAAGCUUUUCCCGA